Molecule: long non-coding RNA, 782 nt
Organism: Elgaria multicarinata webbii
Lineage: Eukaryota; Metazoa; Chordata; Lepidosauria; Squamata; Anguidae
Exons: 5
Source: RefSeq, a predicted model, not a curated record
UCUUCCGUUUCCUUUUUCUUUCUUUUAGUGUCGUAGCAGCGUGCAUUUGGGGAUGAGGAAGACCAGGAGACGUCUUCAGGCUCUCAGCCAUGGUCAGGGGGAAGAGAUGAAAAUGACGUGAAUUUCGUGCUUCUGCAGGGGACAAAAAACUCUGCUUUGUAAGAUGGCUGUAGCCCAAUUCUCAGGCAUACAAGGAAAUGUUCUGAAGGCCAGGAUAAUAUUGGAAGAGUGCAUCAUUGUAGAAUUUGGCAAAUAAAAAGAAAUAAUAAAAACAUGGUGUUUGUCAUUAAAUCGCCAGACACCCUAUUUAUUCCGGAAAGGGUAUUGGAUCAAGACCAUCAGAUAAGCAAUGGAUGCUUGUUAAUGAGCAUGAGACACAAUUAUACCCCAAACCAGGCUUAAGUAAUUCUUCUCACUGAUGUACCCUCGGUGUGGACUAUAUGAUGAAAGCAAAUUAAUAUGCUGCUGCUUGAUGAAAGUGAAACUUGAAGUGUCUAGUUCAUCUUUUUGGGAAAGCACACUACAAAGCUGAUUGGUAACAAGCAAAUACAUUUAACUGGAAUAAGACUUGCCUCCAAUCUUAAAUUUCACAGCUGCAGCUUGCAACCCACCAACCAUGCAUGGCAGCCCACCAGAUUCAGGAAAUGUCUGUCUGUCCAGUGCUUAAAAAUAAGGGUUGUUCAGCAAGAGAGCAGAACUGAGCAUCAAGGAAGUUGAAGUGUAUGUGUGUAUUUAUGGUAUCAAGUCUUUAUAUUGACAAUUAAAAAUUACAUAAAAGCUCA